CCUACGGGAGGCAGCAGUGGGGAAUAUUGGACAAUGGGCGCAAGCCUGAUCCAGCCAUGCCGCGUGAGUGAUGAAGGCCCUAGGGUUGUAAAGCUCUUUCACCGGUGAAGAUAAUGACGGUAACCGGAGAAGAAGCCCCGGCUAACUUCGUGCCAGCAGCCGCGGUAAUACGAAGGGGGCUAGCGUUGUUCGGAUUUACUGGGCGUAAAGCGCACGUAGGCGGACUUUUAAGUCAGGGGUGAAAUCCCGGGGCUCAACCCCGGAACUGCCUUUGAUACUGGAAGUCUUGAGUAUGGUAGAGGUGAGUGGAAUUCCGAGUGUAGAGGUGAAAUUCGUAGAUAUUCGGAGGAACACCAGUGGCGAAGGCGGCUCACUGGACCAUUACUGACGCUGAGGUGCGAAAGCGUGGGGGGCAAACAGGGUUAGAUACCCUGGUAGUCCACGCCGUAAACGAUGAAUGUUAGCCGUUGGGGAGUUUACUCUUCGGUGGCGCAGCUAACGCAUUAAACAUUCCGCCUGGGGAGUACGGUCGCAAGAUUAAAACUCAAAUGAAUUG
Molecule: ribosomal RNA, 556 nt
Filed under: uncultured bacterium
Lineage: Bacteria
Description: bacterial SSU rRNA
Rfam family: Bacterial small subunit ribosomal RNA
Source: RNAcentral